AGAUGUAAUCCUGCCUAAAACAAGAUUUCAAUUGAUAGAUUGAAGAUGUAUGAUUCAACAGUAGCAAUACGGAAGAGCUACCUCAAGCACUGCUUCCAAACCAAACUGUCAGGGCUGUUGAGAUUUUAGUGUCGCACCCGUAGGUAGAAUAUACGGGAAUCGUCUGUGGUAGUGUUUAGAGGUAUGUUAUUUUGUGCUUAGUGGAAAUGAAUUGUAGAUACCUGGAUGAAAUAAAAGGAACAGCAGUUGCUAGUUGAGUUAUCAGUCAGUAGCUGUCUGCAGAGGAAUGGA
Long non-coding RNA from Aedes aegypti (yellow fever mosquito), 291 nucleotides. RefSeq lists it as uncharacterized. The transcript has 2 exons. The record is from RefSeq and is a predicted model, not a curated record. Lineage: Eukaryota; Metazoa; Arthropoda; Insecta; Diptera; Culicidae.